RNAcentral lists this ribosomal RNA (253 nucleotides) under uncultured bacterium. Its description in RNAcentral is "partial 16S ribosomal RNA". It matches the Rfam family "Bacterial small subunit ribosomal RNA", at positions 524 to 776 of the family's 1533-position model. The record is from RNAcentral.
UACGAAGGGGGCUAGCGUUGCUCGGAAUCACUGGGCGUAAAGCGCACGUAGGCGGAUUGCUAAGUCAGGGGUGAAAUCCUGGAGCUCAACUCCAGAACUGCCUUUGAUACUGGCGAUCUUGAGUCCGAUAGAGGUGGGUGGAAUUCCUAGUGUAGAGGUGAAAUUCGUAGAUAUUAGGAAGAACACCGGUGGCGAAGGCGGCCCACUGGAUCGGUACUGACGCUGAGGUGCGAAAGCGUGGGGAGCAAACAGG